RNAcentral lists this ribosomal RNA (257 nucleotides) under uncultured bacterium. RNAcentral's name for it is "partial 16S ribosomal RNA". It matches the Rfam family "Bacterial small subunit ribosomal RNA", at positions 793 to 1055 of the family's 1533-position model. The record is from RNAcentral.
GUCCACACAGUAAACGAUGAAUACUCGCUGUUUGCGAUAUACAGUAAGCGGCCAAGCGAAAGCAUUAAGUAUUCCACCUGGGGAGUACGCCGGCAACGGUGAAACUCAAAGGAAUUGACGGGGGCCCGCACAAGCGGAGGAACAUGUGGUUUAAUUCGAUGAUACGCGAGGAACCUUACCCGGGCUUAAAUUGCAUUUGAAUAAUCUGGAAACAGGUUAGCCGCAAGGCAAAUGUGAAGGUGCUGCAUGGUUGUCGU